Molecule: long non-coding RNA, 330 nt
Organism: Podarcis raffonei (Aeolian wall lizard)
Lineage: Eukaryota; Metazoa; Chordata; Lepidosauria; Squamata; Lacertidae
Exons: 2
Source: RefSeq, a predicted model, not a curated record
CCUCUGCGUUACAUUCUGAGCUUUGGAGCAGGGAGAGUGGGGGGGUGUUUGGGAGUGGUAUCUUGCCUGAUACACCUUAAAAGCAACAUCUGUAGUGUCCCCACUGGACUGUACCAGGAAUGAGGCAGGACGUUUCUCCUGGGGACUGGGGAACUCUUCCGCAUGACAGAACUAUCUUUGAAAAUCCAUCAUUUAUUUCUAGGUUGAUGUUUAAAUACACAUUUGAAGGGGCCAAGCAACUCUUGGCUGCAUCUGCCAGCAGCCAUCCUCUCUUCUGCUCAUCAACAUCUAUGAAAUUUUCCUGCUUAAUAAAACUUACCAAGCAUCCUA